Molecule: ribosomal RNA, 548 nt
Filed under: Quasipaa boulengeri (spiny-bellied frog)
Lineage: Eukaryota; Metazoa; Chordata; Amphibia; Anura; Dicroglossidae
Description: partial 16S ribosomal RNA
Rfam family: Bacterial large subunit ribosomal RNA
Source: RNAcentral
CGCCUCUUGAUAAAUUAUAAGAGGUCCAGCCUGCCCAGUGACUUAGUUAAACGGCCGCGGUACCCUGACCGUGCGAAGGUAGCAUAAUCACUUGUUCUUUAAAUAAGGACUAGUAUCAACGGCAUCACGAGGGUUACACUGUCUCCUCCCUCCAAUCAGUGAAACUGAUCUCCCCGUGAAGAAGCGGGGAUAAAAAUAUAAGACGAGAAGACCCCAUGGAGCUUUAAACCCAACAACAACCUCUAUGCACAUCCCCCUGAUAAAUGCAGAGGCACUGUCUGUUGGUUUUAGGUUGGGGUGACCGCGGAGUAAAACUUAGCCUCCACGAUGAACGGGAUUAACCCCUAAUCCAAGAGCCACCGCUCUAAGAAUCAACAAAUUGACGUGAAAUGAUCCGACAAUCGAUCAACGAACCAAGUUACCCUGGGGAUAACAGCGCAAUCCAUUUCAAGAGCUCCUAUCGACAAAUGGGUUUACGACCUCGAUGUUGGAUCAGGGUAUCCCAGUGGUGCAGCCGCUACUAAAGGUUUGUUUGUUCAACAAUUAAA